AACGUGUCGCGAUGGAAGACUUGGCUUCCUAUUUCGUUGAAAAACGCAGCAAAGUGCGAUAAGUGGUAUCAAUUGCAGAAUCAUUUCAUUGCCCAAUCUUUGAACACA
This 108-nucleotide ribosomal RNA is filed under the name Trypanosoma evansi. RNAcentral's name for it is "partial 5.8S ribosomal RNA". It matches the Rfam family "5.8S ribosomal RNA", at positions 1 to 108 of the family's 154-position model. Rfam says of the family: 5.8S ribosomal RNA (5.8S rRNA) is a component of the large subunit of the eukaryotic ribosome. Lineage: Eukaryota; Euglenozoa; Kinetoplastea; Trypanosomatida; Trypanosomatidae. The record is from RNAcentral.